AACGAACGCUGGCGGCAUGCCUAACACAUGCGAGUCGAACGAGACCUUCGGGUCUAGUGGCGCACGGGUGCGUAACGCGUGGGAAUCUGCCCUUGGGUUCGGAAUAACAGUUGGAAACGACUGCUAAUACCGGAUGAUGACGUAAGUCCAAAGAUUUAUCGCCCAGGGAUGAGCCCGCGUAGGAUUAGCUAGUUGGUGGGGUAAAGGCCUACCAAGGCGACGAUCCUUAGCUGGUCUGAGAGGAUGAUCAGCCACACUGGGACUGAGACACGGCCCAGACUCCUACGGGAGGCAGCAGUGGGGAAUAUUGGACAAUGGGCGAAAGCCUGAUCCAGCAAUGCCGCGUGAGUGAUGAAGGCCUUAGGGUUGUAAAACUCUUUUACCCGGGAUGAUAAUGACAGUACCGGGAGAAUAAGCCCCGGCUAACUCCGUG
Molecule: ribosomal RNA, 433 nt
Filed under: uncultured bacterium
Lineage: Bacteria
Description: partial 16S ribosomal RNA
Rfam family: Bacterial small subunit ribosomal RNA
Source: RNAcentral